RNAcentral lists this ribosomal RNA (2903 nucleotides) under Escherichia coli. RNAcentral's name for it is "23S ribosomal RNA". It matches the Rfam family "Bacterial large subunit ribosomal RNA". Lineage: Bacteria; Pseudomonadati; Pseudomonadota; Gammaproteobacteria; Enterobacterales; Enterobacteriaceae. The record is from RNAcentral.
UUAAGCGACUAAGCGUACACGGUGGAUGCCCUGGCAGUCAGAGGCGAUGAAGGACGUGCUAAUCUGCGAUAAGCGUCGGUAAGGUGAUAUGAACCGUUAUAACCGGCGAUUUCCGAAUGGGGAAACCCAGUGUGUUUCGACACACUAUCAUUAACUGAAUCCAUAGGUUAAUGAGGCGAACCGGGGGAACUGAAACAUCUAAGUACCCCGAGGAAAAGAAAUCAACCGAGAUUCCCCCAGUAGCGGCGAGCGAACGGGGAGCAGCCCAGAGCCUGAAUCAGUGUGUGUGUUAGUGGAAGCGUCUGGAAAGGCGCGCGAUACAGGGUGACAGCCCCGUACACAAAAAUGCACAUGCUGUGAGCUCGAUGAGUAGGGCGGGACACGUGGUAUCCUGUCUGAAUAUGGGGGGACCAUCCUCCAAGGCUAAAUACUCCUGACUGACCGAUAGUGAACCAGUACCGUGAGGGAAAGGCGAAAAGAACCCCGGCGAGGGGAGUGAAAAAGAACCUGAAACCGUGUACGUACAAGCAGUGGGAGCACGCUUAGGCGUGUGACUGCGUACCUUUUGUAUAAUGGGUCAGCGACUUAUAUUCUGUAGCAAGGUUAACCGAAUAGGGGAGCCGAAGGGAAACCGAGUCUUAACUGGGCGUUAAGUUGCAGGGUAUAGACCCGAAACCCGGUGAUUCAGCCAUGGGCAGGUUGAAGGUUGGGUAACACUAACUGGAGGACCGAACCGACUAAUGUUGAAAAAUUAGCGGAUGACUUGUGGCUGGGGGUGAAAGGCCAAUCAAACCGGGAGAUAGCUGGUUCUCCCCGAAAGCUAUUUAGGUAGCGCCUCGUGAAUUCAUCUCCGGGGGUAGAGCACUGUUUCGGCAAGGGGGUCAUCCCGACUUACCAACCCGAUGCAAACUGCGAAUACCGGAGAAUGUUAUCACGGGAGACACACGGCGGGUGCUAACGUCCGUCGUGAAGAGGGAAACAACCCAGACCGCCAGCUAAGGUCCCAAAGUCAUGGUUAAGUGGGAAACGAUGUGGGAAGGCCCAGACAGCCAGGAUGUUGGCUUAGAAGCAGCCAUCAUUUAAAGAAAGCGUAAUAGCUCACUGGUCGAGUCGGCCUGCGCGGAAGAUGUAACGGGGCUAAACCAUGCACCGAAGCUGCGGCAGCGACGCUUAUGCGUUGUUGGGUAGGGGAGCGUUCUGUAAGCCUGCGAAGGUGUGCUGUGAGGCAUGCUGGAGGUAUCAGAAGUGCGAAUGCUGACAUAAGUAACGAUAAAGCGGGUGAAAAGCCCGCUCGCCGGAAGACCAAGGGUUCCUGUCCAACGUUAAUCGGGGCAGGGUGAGUCGACCCCUAAGGCGAGGCCGAAAGGCGUAGUCGAUGGGAAACAGGUUAAUAUUCCUGUACUUGGUGUUACUGCGAAGGGGGGACGGAGAAGGCUAUGUUGGCCGGGCGACGGUUGUCCCGGUUUAAGCGUGUAGGCUGGUUUUCCAGGCAAAUCCGGAAAACUAAGGCUGAGGCGUGAUGACGAGGCACUACGGUGCUGAAGCAACAAAUGCCCUGCUUCCAGGAAAAGCCUCUAAGCAUCAGGUAACAUCAAAUCGUACCCCAAACCGACACAGGUGGUCAGGUAGAGAAUACCAAGGCGCUUGAGAGAACUCGGGUGAAGGAACUAGGCAAAAUGGUGCCGUAACUUCGGGAGAAGGCACGCUGAUAUGUAGGUGAAGUCCCUCGCGGAUGGAGCUGAAAUCAGUCGAAGAUACCAGCUGGCUGCAACUGUUUAUUAAAAACACAGCACUGUGCAAACACGAAAGUGGACGUAUACGGUGUGACGCCUGCCCGGUGCCGGAAGGUUAAUUGAUGGGGUCAGCGCAAGCGAAGCUCUUGAUCGAAGCCCCGGUAAACGGCGGCCGUAACUAUAACGGUCCUAAGGUAGCGAAAUUCCUUGUCGGGUAAGUUCCGACCUGCACGAAUGGCGUAAUGAUGGCCAGGCUGUCUCCACCCGAGACUCAGUGAAAUUGAACUCGCUGUGAAGAUGCAGUGUACCCGCGGCAAGACGGAAAGACCCCGUGAACCUUUACUAUAGCUUGACACUGAACAUUGAGCCUUGAUGUGUAGGAUAGGUGGGAGGCUUUGAAGUGUGGACGCCAGUCUGCAUGGAGCCGACCUUGAAAUACCACCCUUUAAUGUUUGAUGUUCUAACGUGGACCCGUAAUCCGGGUUGCGGACAGUGUCUGGUGGGUAGUUUGACUGGGGCGGUCUCCUCCUAAAGAGUAACGGAGGAGCACGAAGGUUGGCUAAUCCUGGUCGGACAUCAGGAGGUUAGUGCAAUGGCAUAAGCCAGCUUGACUGCGAGCGUGACGGCGCGAGCAGGUGCGAAAGCAGGUCAUAGUGAUCCGGUGGUUCUGAAUGGAAGGGCCAUCGCUCAACGGAUAAAAGGUACUCCGGGGAUAACAGGCUGAUACCGCCCAAGAGUUCAUAUCGACGGCGGUGUUUGGCACCUCGAUGUCGGCUCAUCACAUCCUGGGGCUGAAGUAGGUCCCAAGGGUAUGGCUGUUCGCCAUUUAAAGUGGUACGCGAGCUGGGUUUAGAACGUCGUGAGACAGUUCGGUCCCUAUCUGCCGUGGGCGCUGGAGAACUGAGGGGGGGGCUGCUCCUAGUACGAGAGGACCGGAGUGGACGCAUCACUGGUGUUCGGGUUGUCAUGCCAAUGGCACUGCCCGGUAGCUAAAUGCGGAAGAGAUAAGUGCUGAAAGCAUCUAAGCACGAAACUUGCCCCGAGAUGAGUUCUCCCUGACUCCUUGAGAGUCCUGAAGGAACGUUGAAGACGACGACGUUGAUAGGCCGGGUGUGUAAGCGCAGCGAUGCGUUGAGCUAACCGGUACUAAUGAACCGUGAGGCUUAACCU